This 81-nucleotide transfer RNA is filed under the name Paragonimus heterotremus. It matches the Rfam family "tRNA". From Rfam's summary of the family: Transfer RNA (tRNA) molecules are approximately 80 nucleotides in length. Their secondary structure includes four short double-helical elements and three loops (D, anti-codon, and T loops). The record is from Rfam by way of RNAcentral. Lineage: Eukaryota; Metazoa; Platyhelminthes; Trematoda; Plagiorchiida; Troglotrematidae.
GGCUUCGUAGCUCAGCUGAUAGAGCGCUUGCCGCGUAGAGGCAUGGUGUUUCUGUCGCUGGUUCGAAUCCAGCCGAAGCUC